CUCAUGCCCACCUCCGAAGCCUCCUUCCACACCCUCCUCUGAUUCCUGAUCACAUCAGAUGGCUUCUUGGGUGUGGAGACUCUUUUGGACAUGGAUUCUUAGGCGGUCACACAAAGGAGGCUCCCCCUUGGAUGGGGCACCCACAUGAUGGGGUGCCUCCCUCUUCCAAACCCUAGGGCGGCUAGGGCUUGAGGGAGGUGCCCCCCUAGGGCUCCUUGUUGCAUGAAAGAACUAGAGAGAGAG
RNAcentral lists this long non-coding RNA (243 nucleotides) under Elaeis guineensis (African oil palm). RNAcentral's name for it is "long non-coding RNA (EGUI_LNC042328)". The record is from RNAcentral. Lineage: Eukaryota; Viridiplantae; Streptophyta; Magnoliopsida; Arecales; Arecaceae.